CCUACGGGAGGCAGCAGUGGGGAAUAUUGGGCAAUGGGCGCAAGCCUGACCCAGCAACGCCGCGUGAAGGAAGAAGGCUUUCGGGUUGUAAACUUCUUUUCUCAGGGACGAAGCAAGUGACGGUACCUGAGGAAUAAGCCACGGCUAACUACGUGCCAGCAGCCGCGGUAAUACGUAGGUGGCAAGCGUUAUCCGGAUUUACUGGGUGUAAAGGGCGUGUAGGCGGGGACGCAAGUCAGAUGUGAAAACCACGGGCUCAACCUGUGGACUGCAUUUGAAACUGGGGUUCGUGAGGACUGGAGAGGCAGACGGAAUUCCUAGUGUAGCGGUGAAAUGCGUAGAGAGUAGGAGGAACACCAGUGGCGAAGGCGGUCUGCUGGACAGCAACUGACGCUGAGGCGCGAAAGCGUGGGGAGCAAACAGGAUUAGAUACCCCAGUAGUC
This 443-nucleotide ribosomal RNA is filed under the name uncultured bacterium. Its description in RNAcentral is "partial 16S ribosomal RNA". It matches the Rfam family "Bacterial small subunit ribosomal RNA", at positions 338 to 795 of the family's 1533-position model. The record is from RNAcentral.